GUCUGCGGCCAUACCACCCUGAACUUGCCCAAUUUCCUCUGAUCUCAGAAGCUAACCAGGGUCGGGCCUGGUAGUACUGGGAUAGAAAACAUUGGUAUUUUGGUCU
RNAcentral lists this ribosomal RNA (106 nucleotides) under Ailuropoda melanoleuca (giant panda). The record is from RNAcentral. Lineage: Eukaryota; Metazoa; Chordata; Mammalia; Carnivora; Ursidae.